GACCGGGCUGUGAGAGGAGAACUGGGGCAGAGAACAGGCACGGUGUGACGGGGGAACCGGGACGGGAACGGGGGCCAGGGCGGUGUGAGGAGAACCGGGACAGGGAACGAGGCGGUGUGAGGGGAACCGGGAUAGGGAAACGGGAUAGGGAAACAGGCUGGUGUGAGGCGAUCCGGGACGGGUGAAUGGGACAGGGAGACGGGAUAGGGAUCGGGGCGGUGUGAGGGGAACCGGGGCAGGAAACGGGUCGGUGUGAGGGGACUCCGCGACAGGGAAACGGGACGGAGAAGCGGAACGGUGUGAGGGACGGGACCGGGACGGGAACCGGGGCGGUGUGAGGGGCUGCUGGGAGGGGGAACCCGAGACAGCCGGUCAUCGGGCAGGAGCCUUCCUGCGGCAGGGCCUCUCACGAACGCCAAGUUCAAAACCUGGAGUUAUCGAAGAAACUAAGGAGCUUUAACCUAAAUUUCGAGGUAAACCCAGAGAAGAACCAGUACCCGUGUCUGAGGCUGGAUCCUACGGCUGGCAUGAGGAACUGCACGGUGCUGGGGUGAAGACAGGUACUGCUGUUAAAUUACACACUUCAAUGGCUGCUAAACCAGUACAAUUCCAACUCGUGAGAAGUCAGAAUCCAACGCAAGUAAUUUGCCAGAGUGGCUGAUCCAGGGACCGGCUGUGUGGUUUCUCUUAUUUGGGAAAAGCAGGACUGAUGCAGACGCUCACCUGUACAGGUUCUCAACCCUCCCCUUCAAUAUCGUACCUAAGGCCACCCCUUCCAUAGACAGCAGCCGUGUUCUUUGGAGAAUUUUAUUAAAAUAUAUCCAAGAAGUAAUCAAACAUUUUCUUAUGAGUCAGGAGAGAACUGAAGUGAGAAAAACAUCUGUACAGAGGA
Molecule: long non-coding RNA, 892 nt
Organism: Lepidothrix coronata (blue-crowned manakin)
Lineage: Eukaryota; Metazoa; Chordata; Aves; Passeriformes; Pipridae
Exons: 3
Source: RefSeq, a predicted model, not a curated record